CUCAUACUCCCUCCGUCCCGAAUUAGUUGUCUGAGAUUUGUCUAGAUACGGAUGUACUAUACAUCCGUAUCUAGACAAAUCUCAGACAACUAAUUCGGGACGGAGGGAGUAUCAA
This is a non-coding RNA of Triticum aestivum (bread wheat), 115 nucleotides long. NCBI's taxonomy places the organism in Eukaryota, Viridiplantae, Streptophyta, Magnoliopsida, Poales, Poaceae. The record is from Rfam.